RNAcentral lists this ribosomal RNA (479 nucleotides) under uncultured bacterium. Its description in RNAcentral is "partial 16S ribosomal RNA". It matches the Rfam family "Bacterial small subunit ribosomal RNA", at positions 28 to 507 of the family's 1533-position model. The record is from RNAcentral.
GAUGAACGCUAGCGGGAGGCCUAACACAUGCAAGCCGAGCGGUAUUGUUUCUUCGGAUAUGAGAGAGCGGCGUACGGGUGCGUAACACGUGUGCAACCUGCCUUUAUCUGGGGGAUAGCCUUUCGAAAGGAAGAUUAAUACUCCAUAAUAUAUUGAACGGCAUCGUUUAAUAUUGAAAGCUCCGGCGGUUAGAGAUGGGCACGCGCAAGAUUAGCUAGUUGGUGAGGUAACGGCUCACCAAGGCGAUGAUCCUUAGGGGGGCUGAGAGGGUGAUCCCCCACACUGGUACUGAGACACGGACCAGACUCCUACGGGAGGCAGCAGUGAGGAAUAUUGGUCGAUGGGUGCAAGCCUGAACCAGCCAUCCCGCGUGAAGGACGACUGCCCUAGGGGUUGUAAACUUCUUUUGAAUAGGGAUAAACCUACCCUCGAGAGGGUAGCUGAAGGUACUAUAAGAAUAAGCACCGGCUAACUCCGUG